GACGAACGCUGGCGGCGUGCUUAACACAUGCAAGUCGAACGGAAAGGCCCUGCUUUUGUGGGGUUCUCGAGUGGCGAACGGGUGAGUAACACGUGAGUAACCUGCCCUUGGCUUUGGGAUAACUUCAGGAAACUGGGGCUCAUACCGGAUAGGAGCUCCUGCUGCAUGGUGGGGGUUGGAAAGUUUCGGCGGUUGGGGAUGGACUCGCGGCUUAUCAGCUUGUUGGUGGGGUAGUGGCUUACCAAGGCUUUGACGGGUAGCCGGCCUGAGAGGGUUGACGGCGACAUGGGGACUGAGAGACGGCGCAGAAGCGUACGGGAGGCAGCAGUGGGGAAUAUUGCACAAUGGGCGGAAGCCUGAGGCAGCAACGCCGCGUGCGGGAUGACGGGUUUCGGGUUGUAAACCGCUGUCGCCGGUGACGAAGCGGGAGUGACGGUAAUGGGUAAAGAAGCACCGGCUAACUACGUG
This 468-nucleotide ribosomal RNA is filed under the name uncultured bacterium. Its description in RNAcentral is "partial 16S ribosomal RNA". It matches the Rfam family "Bacterial small subunit ribosomal RNA", at positions 28 to 507 of the family's 1533-position model. The record is from RNAcentral.